CGACGUCUGCGUUCGAUUGAGGCCCAUGAGUCGGGUUAUCCAGUGUGCUGCUCCCCGUUUGCCAUCCUCCCAACGUCCCCCUCGGGAGAUGGCCUAGAGCAACGCUCGUACUCUGGCCGACCAUGCUUGUUAAAUUACAUUCCCUCACCCAUGGCGUCCUGCUGGCAGUCGGAAACUUGCUCCUCGCCCACCACUAUACUGAUAACCGUUUUCGAUGGCGGUGGUCGAGGAGGACGUCCGAGGCAGUUUUGCCAAAAGAUCAGAUGCUUUUGAGCAAUGAUCCUUCCCCGGCUGUGCUCGUUUGCACAUCGGCUUUGCACUGGACAUCCAAGUCUGAGCGUGGCCAAUAACCGAAGGACCUGCGCGGCAACCCCUCGUCACGGCGAGCGUCGUCUCUGCGAGCUUCGCAUCGAGCGUCCUAAACGCUCAUCAGGUGCACUGGGUGUGUUUUUUUCUAGAUGGUCUAGCUGGCGAGGGUGGCGCACGCCUUAGAGAAGUUAACUCUUUGUUCAGUUGCACUAGCUAGCGCUCACUAGGAUGCAUAGCUACAUUACAAAAUUGCUUAGCUGUAAGCCCGAGGUUUCGUGGGCAUGGCUUGUGGCCACACGGGUCUUCUCCGUGCCGGAAUCGAAGAGGACGGGCCAUGUGUUGCGGGGUGGCGGUGUAUAGCUUCAGGUUUAGCUGGCACACAGGCUUAGCUCACACUGCGCAGGCUACAGCUGAUAGCCGUCCUCUUACGACUGCGUCAGGGACAUGGACCCAUCCGAAUGGCCUUGCGACCCGACCCCACUAUUUCGUGAUGGAGAUAGCCCACGCGUGUCAGUGCUAUCGAGCGAAAUGUGGAAUGACGGAAGCAAACGGCAUUCGGAAAUUACCUCGCCAGCUUUUAGCUAUUGCGGCGACCUUACGUCGCCUACGGUCUGGAGCGCAGCUCGGCCGUGCAGCAGUUACGGUAAGUGGUCCAUUUCUUUGCUGUUCCAGCAGUUCUUUUCUGGUUGUUUACUUUCCUCCUUGCGUCGCAGAUGACCUUGAUCGCCACUCGUGCUGUUACCAACCGUCUUAACUAUUUCGCAUUCCCUCGGCGGUGAAGUGUUGCUGGUGAACUGGACUUUGUUCCUCGCUCGGCACUACUCCUGGUUCCUACCGUCUGCUUUCCAUUGCGGCUAUUCACAAGCAUAUCUAGCGGGUGCUUCUGGACAUCGUCUCCGGCCGCGUUAGGUCUGCAUUUUUCUCACCGGUGGCUUUCAGCUGGGAUGCCGAGAUUCGUUCAACUUCCUGCACUGCUUCUGACAAGUACCACGUAUACACUCCAAUGGUACUACGGAUGUUUUCUCGUGUGGCGUAUAAGCCCUGUGACAUUUAAGGUUCCGAACGUCUGCUUUCGAAUGAAGCCGUGUUUUCCUCUGACGGCUAUGGUUCGCGUUCACUCAGUGCUCCUUUCAUUAAUCUUGUUGCUACACCUUGCCGGUUCAGCAACUACAGAAACUCUGUGGGCUUCCGAUUAAAUUCGCUGUCGGAUGUAUUUACUAUGCAGACCUUCGAGGUUAGGUUUAUGCUUCGGAAAACUUCCUUCGCCAGUUUCUAAAAGGCUGUAGCUCACCGAGCAAGACGACGUUGAAUUUCUUCCAUUCCUGGUUGUAUUUCUUAGUUGAGUUCAUUUGCUCACCCGUAAUUUAUUUCGUCUACUCGGAGUGACACAUUUUUCACAAUGCUUUUGUAACUCUACAUAGUCUUCACUUUAGUCGAAGGUUGCCGUCCUGUUCUUCAAUGUUUCCUCCCAGUUUUCUGGUUCCGCCCGUCGGGUCCGCAGACGUUAGAGGAAUGGGUUCUCCAGGUCCAUCGUGAACUUCUGUUAACGAUUGCUUCUUAAUGAUACCACCUACUUUGUGUACUCGGAUAUAUAGUUCUCCAUUAUGCAGUACACAUCGACCGAUUGCUCUCCGCAGUAGCCUUCAAAACUACGAAUGAGCCUUUCAUAGAAACCGCUCCCACACGGUGUUUUGCGGACGAAAUGUUCACUUGGUGAUAAGUCAUGAAUUGUUCAGUUGUUUAUCGACGUAAUGUUGCUGUGACCGCAUUCAAUCUCUUAUUAGUUCUCCUGAAGGUCUUGCGUUGUUGCUGAGAACAUUUAUGUUCGACCUGAGAAACGCCAAAAAUAGUGUAGAAAACCGAUGUGAAGCGUCUCCAACAGUUUCCCAGUGUACACCUCUUGUCACAGCACAUGUGAAAGUUGCUACACAAAGUUUGGAUGUCCGCUUUCUUGUAUUUUUUUCUUUUGUAGUUGCUCCCAGCGCACCGUUGAAACGUAGAGCAGUUAUUUCAAACAAUGUGGUCUUCGUUACUCUAUCCUCAAGUGGAGGUACUUGCUCUUAAAAUGAUCUGGCAUUGUAUCUUCGCCACACAGCGCACUGUCGUAUUACUUUCACUUAUUUUCGCCCUCCGAUUACCCUAAAUCUCGUUAUUAUACGCGCGAGUGUACCGCGUACUCCAUCAUGAAGUUUGUCCAUAUAGGUGUCGCACUAAUAGUCCACAUUUCUUCCAUUUACAUGUGAUCGCGUGCUGCUGCUCUUGUGAUACGGGCCCUACCGAAGGCGCCCGUGAAGUCUCAUUGGGUCUUUGUCUCAAGAUAUCUGGUAUUCACCUAUUAUCUGCACAUUCGCUUGCUUGCUGAAUUGCUGCAAUUAUUUUGCAAUAUACGCACUUUGUUCUAGCCAAAUGAGGCAGGUUUCGGCAAUACUUAUUUCUUCUGCUUUUAGUGGACCAUUGAACUUGUCCUCUAAUAAUCACGGAAAAAAACAUCACGUAGUUGCUCUCCAAGUAUUCAAGUAACUGCCGAACCUGUCAACUUCAAUUCCUCGUCUUGAGAUCCUUUUCGACGUAUAUCUGACACGAGAAUCAUCUCCUUUCCUUUCAUUAUUAACCGGCAUUUUGUAACGGCUAUUUGGUCUGUAGCAACUGGAAUCCCUUCCACGAAAUUGUUCACUACAUCUUUUCUACAGUGACUCCUGGUUAUAUCUGCUCGAUUUUUCAAUACUACUGACGUAUCCCCAUUGUUCUCCUACUGAGUAAUCCUUUUUUUUUUGUACUGUGUUCAACAGUUGCUUCAUACAUUUUCUUUCUCCAAUGCAGCACGAUUGUACAAGUGGUACGACACUUUACUGUUGCUCGCAAGUUCUAAUUUGCGAGACUGACGACGGUGUUAAUUAGAGCUACUGUUCUUUGCCAGGACCAGCACUGUCUGCACACUGAUAUCAGUACCAUGAAUGCUGCACUUGAAUACACCGUCGGGCUUGCAUCCGAGAAGUGUCGGUGCUUACGUUCCGUUUCUUGUCGAUGCGCCUUGAGGCAUUUAGUCCCUUAUCUUCCGCGAUAUAUUUCUCCAUAGAGCAUUUAUCUUCGUCUGGGAGAGGGUUGUCCCAAUAUUCGGGUUUUUUCCCGUCACUGAAUACCGAUAUUAGCUGUUGCAGUGCAGGGCGUUAGAAAUUCCAGCCGACCAAAUAUUUUCGCCCUGGCUUGAAAUACUCAUCGCUUCGUCAGAAUUUUACUCGAGUCUUCAUAUCGAUGGGAAAGGAGAAUACCGUCGGCCGUGUUCCAGUUCAUUCCUAGAACACUGGUCUCGCUUUAUCACGUAAGAACGGCACCUCGAUGAGCAUUCAAAUUCUCAUUUCUUCACUGUUCGAUGUCCACUUCCUAAGAUUCAUUGCAGCUCGGAUAACUUCUUUUUUUGCUUCUAUGUACACGCUUCUGCCUGGUUUUCUUAUGUUCCAAGCAUAACUUAAUUACGUUUGCUGUCAUUGCAAGAAUUUCUUAGAAAAUAAGUGUUGGUACAUCCGCAUUCACAUUUACUCCUGUCUGCAGAUCAUCAUUCAGAACGUUCCUCAUCUUAACCACGAGGCGUCAAAUGCUACGCUUAAUUUUCUUGCUAGUCGGUCUUCUCGAAUUGCUUGACGGUGCGAUACGGUAGUUAUUCAGAUUCUUCCGAACUCGCUCGUUGUGCUUUCCAGGUGUGAAACAUCUCGCAUUGAACAGUUCUAUUUUCAUCUCACUGCUGCGUUUGUCUCGUGUCUUCGACAUAGUCUUCCAAUUGCUACUUCGUUGAUUUACACCUUAACUUGCUCUCUCCAUCCUUCUGAACAGUCCUUGUAACUACAUCGUCCACUUUAUGCAUCGUUUCUUUCUGAGGAGCUGAGCCAGUAUAUACCGCCUGCAAAAAGUUCAAAAUGAAAGUUGUCAGUUUCUGCGUCGUCAAGAACCAUGGCGAGUUUCGCGUUUCGCAGUUCUCUUCUACACCACAUGGGUCAGGCACAAUCCAGUCGGGUAUUUCCUAUUUUCCAUUGCAUCUUCGUUUCGUCUUUUCACUGGGGUUUCCUCCUCGCCUGCACUACUAGUGUUGCGGUCCACAAGCGUACCCAGCGCGCUCUUGCCCGACUGUACGGUCUGCGCUCCAAAAGAUUACUUCGGGCACGAGCAUCGCCUGUUCCAGGAUCGACUGCUAUUGCUUCUACAUUCUCUCGCCGGUGGCGUCCUGCUGGUAGACUGGAAUUGUCUCCCCGACCUGCACUACUACUGCUUCUGCACUCCUGUUUUCAAUUGCGGUCAACAAGCGUACCCAGCGCGUUCUUCACGACUCUUCGGCCUACACUCCAAAAGAUUACUUCGGGCACGUGCAUCACCUGCUCCAGGAUCGACUGCUAUUGCUUCUACAUUCCCUCGCUGGUGGCGUCCUGCUGGUAGACUGGAAUUGUCUCCCCGAUCUGCACUA
Dermacentor andersoni is the source of this 4762-nucleotide non-coding RNA. The record is from RefSeq and is a predicted model, not a curated record. Lineage: Eukaryota; Metazoa; Arthropoda; Arachnida; Ixodida; Ixodidae.